This 370-nucleotide ribosomal RNA is filed under the name Stylomma palmatum 1 SMB-2010. RNAcentral describes it as "partial 16S ribosomal RNA". Lineage: Eukaryota; Metazoa; Annelida; Polychaeta; Sabellida; Sabellidae. The record is from RNAcentral.
CGGACACAGUAGCCCGUGAGCUGUGCAGAAGGUAGCAUAAUAACUUGUCAUUUAAUUGAUGACUAGAAGAAUGGAWUCCACGUAASAAAUAUUUUAUCCUUCCCUAAAUAAAAAUUAGUAUUCWWGGCGAAUAACCCAAAAUUCUCUUGAAAGACAAAAAGACCCUAAUGAGCUUCAAGACCCCCUCUACCUCUCAUAUCCUAGAGUCCCUCUUUAAGCUGGGAUGACUUAAGAGCACCUAAAACCUCUUUAUCCACUCAGACCAACAUGUACCCCCCCAUGACCCCAUUAAGGCUCACUAAGGGGCUACCAUAGGGAUAACAGGCUANUUUUCCUUGAGAGCCACAUGAAGGGAAGCUUGGCACCUCGC